UCCUUCAUUACCCAUCACCACUUCACUCACAGCUCCCUACAUUGCACCUUUCUCAUCGUAUAUUCCACCGUUUCUGAAUCUCCAUAAUUAUCUUCAACAUUUUCUCGCAACUGUAGCAGAGAGAGAUAAUAAUUUCACUCAAUGUGUCCAUCAGGGCUAUCACAGUGGCGGUCAGUCUGGCUGUGGUGUCGUGAGUGGCAGGUGUCCGGAACCUUGCGUGUUACUUAUUAAUUGGCUUUUUCCUGUGGUGGCCAAAACUUUCUGUAACAUUUCGACUGCAGCGAGAAGCUACUGCGUGGUGGCACAGUUUCAAAUCCUUGAAUAACAACAAACACACGCAUGUACAGAAAAGAAAGAAGGAAGAAGAAAAGGAAGAAGAAGAAGAA
This is a long non-coding RNA of Portunus trituberculatus (swimming crab), 386 nucleotides long. RefSeq lists it as uncharacterized. The record is from RefSeq and is a predicted model, not a curated record. The transcript is spliced from 2 exons. Lineage: Eukaryota; Metazoa; Arthropoda; Malacostraca; Decapoda; Portunidae.